GUUCUUGCCCAAACCCAGACCAGUGAUGUAAUGCUUCUGCACCACCACCAUUAGAACCUAACCCCUUUCAAAAACCGCGCACUACUUCUCUUCUUCUCCAUCUUCUCCACUUCUAUGCUCUGCUCGCUCUUCACUUGCUCUUCAAGUCACAGUCACACACACGCACCGAACGCGAAAUUCUCUUCAAUCUACCGACGACGACCUCGAGAAGAAGAACCACCACUACAAAAUUCUCUCCACUCGACUCACAAUGACUUCAAUUGCGUUCGUCUCAUGUCCCAAGGUAUGUUUGAUCAGUGGAGCCCUUGUGGUUCAUGAACUUGAGGAUGACCUUGGAAAAGGAAGGUCUAUGCAAUAGAUGCAAUAGGCAUGCUACCUGACGAGCUCUGGAAUUUGGUUUACCUCACUAAUUUGAAAUUGGGACAAAAUUACUUGACAGGCCCUAUCUCUUCAGGCGUUAGAAACUUAACUCGGCAAACUUGCAUGCAAUACCUGUACUGUGGAACUUCAACUAAUCAUCAAAUAUACCACUAAUGAUA
This is a long non-coding RNA of Spinacia oleracea (spinach), 539 nucleotides long. RefSeq lists it as uncharacterized. The transcript is spliced from 4 exons. The record is from RefSeq and is a predicted model, not a curated record. NCBI's taxonomy places the organism in Eukaryota, Viridiplantae, Streptophyta, Magnoliopsida, Caryophyllales, Amaranthaceae.